UACGAAGGGGGCUAGCGUUGUUCGGAAUUACUGGGCGUAAAGCGCACGUAGGCGGACAUUUAAGUCAGGGGUGAAAUCCCGGGGCUCAACCUCGGAACUGCCUUUGAUACUGGGUGUCUAGAGUAUGGAAGAGGUAAGUGGAAUUGCGAGUGUAGAGGUGAAAUUCGUAGAUAUUCGCAGGAACACCAGUGGCGAAGGCGGCUUACUGGUCCAUUACUGACGCUGAGGUGCGAAAGCGUGGGGAGCAAACAGGAUUAGAAACCCCCGUAGUCC
RNAcentral lists this ribosomal RNA (273 nucleotides) under uncultured bacterium. Its description in RNAcentral is "partial 16S ribosomal RNA". It matches the Rfam family "Bacterial small subunit ribosomal RNA", at positions 524 to 796 of the family's 1533-position model. The record is from RNAcentral.